GGGGUUGUGGCUCAGAGGUAGAGCCCUUGCCUAGCAAGUGGGAGGCACUAGGUUCGAUCCUCAGCACCA
This 69-nucleotide transfer RNA is filed under the name Ictidomys tridecemlineatus (thirteen-lined ground squirrel). RNAcentral's name for it is "Spermophilus tridecemlineatus (thirteen-lined ground squirrel) tRNA". It matches the Rfam family "tRNA". Rfam says of the family: Transfer RNA (tRNA) molecules are approximately 80 nucleotides in length. Their secondary structure includes four short double-helical elements and three loops (D, anti-codon, and T loops). Further hydrogen bonds mediate the characteristic L-shaped molecular structure. tRNAs have two regions of fundamental functional importance: the anti-codon, which is responsible for specific mRNA codon recognition, and the 3' end, to which the tRNAs corresponding amino acid is attached (by aminoacyl-tRNA synthetases). tRNAs cope with the degeneracy of the genetic code in two manners: having more than one tRNA (with a specific anti-codon) for a particular amino acid; and 'wobble' base-pairing, i.e. permitting non-standard base-pairing at the 3rd anti-codon position. Lineage: Eukaryota; Metazoa; Chordata; Mammalia; Rodentia; Sciuridae. The record is from Rfam by way of RNAcentral.